GGCAACGUGGCUGAGUGGUUAAAGCGUAUGACUAGAAUAAAUCACAUCCGGACUAGACUAUCAUAUCCCUUCGGGGUCACAGGUUCGAGUCCUGUCGUUGUCG
Non-coding RNA from Xylaria telfairii, 103 nucleotides. Lineage: Eukaryota; Fungi; Ascomycota; Sordariomycetes; Xylariales; Xylariaceae. The record is from the annotation of a GenBank genome assembly.